RNAcentral lists this ribosomal RNA (423 nucleotides) under uncultured bacterium. RNAcentral's name for it is "bacterial SSU rRNA". It matches the Rfam family "Bacterial small subunit ribosomal RNA", at positions 40 to 507 of the family's 1533-position model. The record is from RNAcentral.
CGGCAUGCCUAACACAUGCAAGUCGAACGAGACCUUCGGGUCUAGUGGCGCACGGGUGCGUAACGCGUGGGAAUCUGCCCUUGGGUUCGGAAUAACAGCGAGAAAUUGCUGCUAAUACCGGAUGAUGACGUAAGUCCAAAGAUUUAUCGCCCAAGGAUGAGCCCGCGUAGGAUUAGCUAGUUGGUGAGGUUAAAAGGCUCACCAAGGCGACGAUCCUUAGCUGGUCUGAGAGGAUGAUCAGCCACACUGGGACUGAGACACGGCCCAGACUCCUACGGGAGGCAGCAGUGGGGAAUAUUGGACAAUGGGCGAAAGCCUGAUCCAGCAAUGCCGCGUGAGUGAUGAAGGCCUUAGGGUUGUAAAGCUCUUUUACCCGGGAUGAUAAUGACAGUACCGGGAGAAUAAGCUCCGGCUAACUCCGUG